AAAAUCAUUUCCCACUAAAAGAA
RNAcentral lists this small nuclear RNA (23 nucleotides) under Arabidopsis thaliana (thale cress). RNAcentral's name for it is "snRNA_04205". The record is from RNAcentral. Lineage: Eukaryota; Viridiplantae; Streptophyta; Magnoliopsida; Brassicales; Brassicaceae.